GAUGAACGCUAGCGGGAGGCCUAACACAUGCAAGCCGAGCGGUAGAGUUUCUUCGGAAACUUGAGAGCGGCGCACGGGUGCGUAACACGUGUGCAACCUACCUUUAUCUGGGGGAUAGCCUAUCGAAAGGAAGAUUAAUACCCCAUAAUAUAAUGAUUGGCAUCAAUUAUUAUUGAAAACUCCGGUGGAUAGAGAUGGGCACGCGCAAGAUUAGAUAGUUGGUGAGGUAACGGCUCACCAAGUCAAUGAUCUUUAGGGGUCCUGAGAGGGAGAUCCCCCACACUGGUACUGAGACACGGACCAGACUCCUACGGGAGGCAGCAGUGAGGAAUAUUGGACAAUGGGUGAGAGCCUGAUCCAGCCAUCCCGCGUGAAGGAUGACGGUCCUAUGGAUUGUAAACUUCUUUUGUACAGGGAUAAACCUACCCUCGUGAGGGUAGCUGAAGGUACUGUACGAAUAAGCACCGGCUAACUCCGUG
This 479-nucleotide ribosomal RNA is filed under the name uncultured bacterium. RNAcentral describes it as "partial 16S ribosomal RNA". It matches the Rfam family "Bacterial small subunit ribosomal RNA", at positions 28 to 507 of the family's 1533-position model. The record is from RNAcentral.